Molecule: ribosomal RNA, 2379 nt
Filed under: Staphylococcus sp. JGI 0001002-I23
Lineage: Bacteria; Bacillati; Bacillota; Bacilli; Caryophanales; Staphylococcaceae
Description: bacterial LSU rRNA
Rfam family: Bacterial large subunit ribosomal RNA
Source: RNAcentral
UUAAGUGUCGUAAGGGCAUUUGGUGGAUGCCUUGGCAUGCACAGGCGAUGAAGGACGUGAUACGCUGCGAAAAGCCGUGGGGAGCUGCGAAUAAGCUUUGAUCCAUGGAUCUCCGAAUGGGGCAACCCACCUUAAAUGCUUGGAAAAUCAUUUUGGUUGUCGAACCUUCGGUUCGACGUUACGGCGAACGAUCGCCGACGGCCUCUGGCCUGUAUGGGAACUUCCCAAUACAGCGCGAGACGCGCGUCGCCGGUCGUCCGGCGCAAGAACCAAAAUGGUUUCCAAGCAUUGUGAUAAGGUAUCUGCACCUGAAUAAAAUAGGGUGUAAGAAGCGAACGCAGGGAACUGAAACAUCUAAGUACCUGCAGGAAAGGACAUCAACCGAGACUCCGCAAGUAGUGGCGAGCGAACGCGGACCAGGCCAGUGGCAAUUGUGUUUAAAGCGGAACAAUCUGGAAAGUUUGGCCGUAGCGGGUGACAGCCCCGUACGCGUAGAUAGCAUGAUUGUCCUAGAGUAGGGCGGGACACGAGAAAUCCUGUCUGAACAUGGGGAGACCACUCUCCAAGCCUAAGUACUCGUGCAUGACCGAUAGCGAACAAGUACCGUGAGGGAAAGGUGAAAAGCACCCCGACAAGGGGAGUGAAAUAGAACCUGAAACCGGAUGCCUACAAACAGUCGGAGCCCGCAAGGGUGACGGCGUACCUUUUGUAUAAUGGGUCAACGACUUAGUGUAACAAGCAAGCUUAAGCCGGUAGGUGUAGGCGAAGCGAAAGCGAGUCUGAACAGGGCGAUUUAGUUUGUUGCAUUAGACCCGAAACCGAGUGAUCUAGCCAUGAGCAGGUUGAAGGUUGGGUAACACCAACUGGAGGACCGAACCCGCAUCUGUUGCAAUAGAUUGGGAUGACUUGUGGCUAGGGGUGAAAGGCCAAUCAAACUCGGAAAUAGCUGGUUCUCCGCGAAAUCUAUUUAGGUAGAGCGUCGACCGAAUACCCUGGGGGGUAGAGCACUGGAUGGGCUAUGGGGACUCACCGUCUUACUGAUCCUAACCAAACUCCGAAUACCCAGGAGUACUAGUCGGCAGACACACGGCGGGUGCUAACGUCCGUCGUGAAAAGGGCAACAACCCUAACCUCCAGCUAAGGUCCCCAAGUCAUGGCUAAGUGGGAAAGGAUGUGAGGAUCCCAAAACAACCAGGAUGUUGGCUUAGAAGCAGCCAUCAUUUAAAGAAAGCGUAACAGCUCACUGGUCUAAAUAAGGGUCUUUGCGCCGAAAAUGUAACGGGGCUGAAGCCAUGCACCGAAGCUGAGGAUGUGUAGCAAUACACGUGGUAGCGGAGCGUUCCGUAAGCUGAUGAAGGGAGACCCGUGAGGGCUCCUGGAGGUAUCGGAAGUGCGAAUGUUGACAUGAGUAACGAUAAAGAGGGUGAGAGACCCUCUCGCCGAAAGACCAAGGGUUCCUGCUUAAAGUUAAUCUGAGCAGGGUUAGCCGGCCCCUAAGACGAGGCGGACACGCGUAGUCGAUGGGAACCACGUUAAUAUUCGUGGGCCUGGUGGUAGUGACGGAUUGCUCAACUUGUGAGGUCUUAUUGGAUUGAUCUUGCAGGGACGCGGUUCCAGGAAAUAGCUCCACCGUAUAGACCGUACCCGAAACCGACACAGGUGGUCAGGUAGAGUAUACCAAGGCGCUUGAGAGAACUAUGUUGAAGGAACUCGGCAAAUUGCACGCGUAACUUCGGAAGAAGCGUGACCCCAUUUUACGCAAGUGAAGUGGGGUGGCACAGACCAGGGGGUAGCGACUGUUUAUCAAAAACACAGGGCUCUGCGAAGUCGCAAGACGACGUAUAGGGUCUGACGCCUGCCCGGUGCUGGAAGGUUAAGAGGAGAGGUGCAAGCUUUGAAUCGAAGCCCCAGUAAACGGCGGCCGUAACUAUAACGGUCCUAAGGUAGCGAAAUUCCUUGUCGGGUAAGUUCCGACCUGCACGAAUGGCGUAACGACUUCCCCGCUGUCUCCAACAUAGACUCAGUGAAAUUGAAUUCCCCGUGAAGAUGCGGGGUUCCUGCGGUCAGACGGAAAGACCCCGUGCACCUUUACUAUAGCUUUACACUGGCAUUCGUGUCGGCAUGUGUAGGAUAGGUGGUAGGCUUUGAAGCAGGGACGCCAGUUUCUGUGGAGCCAUCCUUGAAAUACCACCCUUAUCGUCAUGGAUGUCUAACCGCGGUCCGUUAUCCGGAUCCGGGACAGUGUAUGGUGGGUAGUUUGACUGGGGCGGUCGCCUCCGAAAGAGUAACGGAGGCGCGCGAUGGUGGGCUCAGACCGGUCGGAAAUCGGUCGUCGAGUGCAAUGGCAUAAGCCCGCCUGACUGCGAGACUGACAAGUCG